Molecule: ribosomal RNA, 465 nt
Filed under: Vreelandella stevensii
Lineage: Bacteria; Pseudomonadati; Pseudomonadota; Gammaproteobacteria; Oceanospirillales; Halomonadaceae
Description: partial 16S ribosomal RNA
Rfam family: Bacterial small subunit ribosomal RNA
Source: RNAcentral
CCUACGGGCGGCUGCAGUGGGGAAUAUUGGACAAUGGGCGAAAGCCUGAUCCAGCCAUGCCGCGUGUGUGAAGAAGGCCUUCGGGUUGUAAAGCACUUUCAGUGGGGAAGAAAGCCUUGGGGCUAAUACCCUCGAGGAAGGACAUCACCCACAGAAGAAGCACCGGCUAACUCCGUGCCAGCAGCCGCGGUAAUACGGAGGGUGCGAGCGUUAAUCGGAAUUACUGGGCGUAAAGCGCGCGUAGGCGGUCUGAUAAGCCGGUUGGUAAAGCCCCGGGCUCAACCUGGGAACGGCAUCCGGAACUGUCAGGCUAGAGUGCAGGAGAGGAAGGUAGAAUUCCCGGUGUAGCGGUGAAAUGCGUAGAGAUCGGGAGGAAUACCAGUGGCGAAGGCGGCCUUCUGGACUGACACUGACGCUGAGGUGCGAAAGCGUGGGUAGCAAACAGGAUUAGAUACCCCAGUAGUC